CAGUAGCCACGGUAAUACGAGGGGGGCAAGCGUUGUUCGGAUUUAUUGGGCGUAAAGGGUGCGUAGGCGGUUUGGCAAGUCUUGUGUGAAAUCUUCGGGCUCAACCCGAAGCCUGCACGAGAAACUACCGGGCUUGAGUAUUGGAGAGGUGAGUGGAAUUUCCGGUGUAGCGGUGAAAUGCGUAGAUAUCGGAAGGAACACCUGUGGCGAAAGCGGCUCACUGGACAAUAACUGACGCUGAUGCACGAAAGCUAGGGGAGCAAACAGGAUUAGAUACCCCCGUAGUCCCUGUCUCUUAUAC
RNAcentral lists this ribosomal RNA (301 nucleotides) under uncultured bacterium. Its description in RNAcentral is "partial 16S ribosomal RNA". It matches the Rfam family "Bacterial small subunit ribosomal RNA", at positions 509 to 807 of the family's 1533-position model. The record is from RNAcentral.